This 844-nucleotide transfer RNA is filed under the name uncultured Synechococcus sp. RNAcentral's name for it is "partial contains 16S ribosomal RNA, 16S-23S ribosomal RNA intergenic spacer, and 23S ribosomal RNA". The stretch from base 284 to 356 matches the Rfam family "tRNA". The record is from RNAcentral. Lineage: Bacteria; Bacillati; Cyanobacteriota; Cyanophyceae; Synechococcales; Synechococcaceae.
UUGGAUCACCUCCUAACAGGGAGACAAACAACGAUUUUGAUGUCUGAGUUAUUUAUUCUUAGGCCAAAAUCCUGUCACCUUAGGUCGAUCGGUACCUCAACUUUGAAGCUAAGAGAGUUCCAGCAAUGGUUGUCUGCUUAGUGUAGAUUUUUAGUUCCUAAACUUUGUCUAGUUCACAACCCAUUAGGGAUGAGACUCCUGGGCCAUUAGCUCAGGUGGUUAGAGCGCACCCCUGAUAAGGGUGAGGUCCCUGGUUCAAGUCCAGGAUGGCCCAUUCGGUGUAGGGGGUUUAGCUCAGUUGGUAGAGCGCCUGCUUUGCAAGCAGGAUGUCAGGAGUUCGAGUCUCCUAACCUCCACUGACUACCAAAAUCCCCAUCUCCAAAACCUGGAGUAUGAACUCGUAUGGAUUGUGAUUUAGAUUUGUCCGCUAGCUGAUCCUAGCUUCUUGUCAUUUUAAGGCAUGGAAAUAAUUCCAUGAUUUGAUUGAUAGGAUGCUGGGCUCGAUGCAAUGUAUUGAGAGAUCAAUGCAUUGUUUUGAUGUCUAGCCGAACCUUGACAACUGCAUAGUUUAAGUCUGGAAAGAAUAAAGCAUCUUUAUGGAUGCAUCAUUUUUUCGUGUUAAUGCAUGAAGGAGUGAUGUUAAUUCUAAAGCAAGAGCCGAGACUCCAGUAUGUUCUUUCAAAUGUCUCGAGCAUUUGAGAGUUUGAUUUUAAUUUCUAAUUUUAGAUUCUAAUUUUAGAAAUUAGAAGAAUCUGUUUCAACGACAGCAAGCGUGCUGGAGAUACAUUGGUCAAGCUACAAAGGGCUCACGGCGGAUACCUUGGCACACAGAGGCGAUGAAGGA